AAUUAAAUAGUGUGAAACAAAUGGUAAAUGGAAAAAGCUUAAAAUUUCUUACAUAUUAUAUAACAUCAUUCCUUGUAGAAAUAAGAAGCCAUAUAAUAGUAUUUUGCAAUAUGCUAAUAUAAAAUAUUGGUUCUAAAAUAGUUUUAUAUCAUAUUUCAUGUAAGAAUGUAUGAAAAAGCAUAUUAGAGUAAAAGCAUAUUAAAAUUCUUAAGAAAUUUUAUGUUUCUAUAUUAACAUGUAACAAAAAAUCAUUGGAAUUUUGCUGUAAGUUAAACUAUGAUAUUGGAUGAUUUUAAAAUUUGCGUGUUAGAAAAAUCUCUCUACCUUUGCUACUGGUGAGUGAGUCACUAGAAGAACAGGAGUCUAAUGCAAUUUCUAAGGCUAGGUACACUAUAAGCUGCAUUAAGAUACUGCAGUGACAGUGGGUUUAGAAAACAAUGGUUCAGUACAUAGCACUUUAAGAAGGGAAGAUCUUUAAUAUUACAGUGAUGAGUGGAUAUAGGUUUAUGGAGAAAGACUCCAGAAUGACUCAAAUUUUUGGUUCAACUGGGCUUAUUAUAUUAUUCACCCAAAUACCCCACAACUGGGAGGAGCCAAUAUCAUUGUAGAUGGCAGGGAAGUGGAGAGAGCUAGAGAGAGAGAAAUGAUUAUGAGUUUGACUUUGAAUUUGUUGAGUUAGAGAUUCUAUGGGACAUCAGACUGUAGUUGACAAAUGUGUGUCAGAAAUCAGGGCUGGGGAUAAAGCAAUGGGAGAUAGGGGAGUAAUCAGCAUUUAUUUUUGUCUGAGUCCCUUGCUGUGCAAAUGACUUUAUAUACAUUUUUACUCUUCAUCUUCUAAAAAAUCUUGGGUUAAGUUCUCAUAUCCCAUCUUAGCAAUGAGCUUUCAGAGGGCCCAUGGAUGCAAAGACUGUUUCCCAAAUUUUCCUACAGAGUUACAAAGUUAAGCAGUAAAUGCCAAAACUUCAGCUCAAGUCCAGGUCUGACUUUCUGCAAAUCCUGUGUUGGAGACCCCCUGAGAUGUGCUGUUCACGUUGAGCAGCUGAGAGAAAUGGAGCGGCCCAAACAGAGCUCUGGGAAACAUCCACAUUAAAAAUGCAGAAAGGAAGACCU
Molecule: long non-coding RNA, 1110 nt
Filed under: Equus caballus (horse)
Lineage: Eukaryota; Metazoa; Chordata; Mammalia; Perissodactyla; Equidae
Description: lncRNA (ENSECAG00000044115.1)
Source: RNAcentral